This 392-nucleotide ribosomal RNA is filed under the name uncultured bacterium. Its description in RNAcentral is "bacterial SSU rRNA". It matches the Rfam family "Bacterial small subunit ribosomal RNA", at positions 31 to 442 of the family's 1533-position model. The record is from RNAcentral.
GAACGCUGGCGGCGUGCCUAAUACAUGCAAGUCGAGCGAACCACUUCGGUGGUGAGCGGCGAACGGGUGAGUAACACGUAGGUGAUCUGCCCAUCAGACGGGGACAACGAUUGGAAACGAUCGCUAAUACCGGAUAGGACGAAAGUUUAAAGGUGCUUCUGGCACCGCUGAUGGAUGAGCCUGCGGCGCAUUAGCUAGUUGGUAGGGUAAAGGCCUACCAAGGCGACGAUGCGUAGCCGACCUGAGAGGGUGAACGGCCACACUGGGACUGAGACACGGCCCAGACUCCUACGGGAGGCAGCAGUAGGGAAUCUUCGGCAAUGGGCGAAAGCCUGACCGAGCAACGCCGCGUGAAUGAUGAAGGCCUUCGGGUUGUAAAAUUCUGUUAUAAG